Molecule: ribosomal RNA, 253 nt
Filed under: uncultured bacterium
Lineage: Bacteria
Description: partial 16S ribosomal RNA
Rfam family: Bacterial small subunit ribosomal RNA
Source: RNAcentral
UACGUAGGGUGCAAGCGUUAAUCGGAAUUACUGGGCGUAAAGCGUGCGCAGGCGGUUGUGCAAGACCGAUGUGAAAUCCCCGGGCUUAACCUGGGAAUGGCAUUGGUGACUGCACGGCUAGAGUGUGUCAGAGGGGGGUAGAAUUCCACGUGUAGCAGUGAAAUGCGUAGAGAUGUGGAGGAAUACCAAUGGCGAAGGCAGCCCCCUGGGUUAACACUGACGCUCAUGCACGAAAGCGUGGGGAGCAAACAGG